AAGUCGUAACAAGGUUUCCGUAGGUGAACCUGCGGAAGGAUCAUUAUUGAAUGAAACUGGGUGAGGUUGUAGCUGGCUCUAGCAAUGGAGCAUGUGCACACUUUGCUCAUCAUCCAAAUAUUACACCUCUGUGCACUUCUCAUAGGUAAAGCUUUGGUCAUGAAACAUGACUGGUGUUUUGCCUGUGUGUUUUACAUACACCUCUGUUUGUUUAAAGAAUGUCUUUUUCUGUGCAUGAAUUGCAUACAAUACAACUUUCAGCAACGGAUCUCUUGGCUCUC
This 281-nucleotide unclassified non-coding RNA is filed under the name air metagenome. RNAcentral's name for it is "partial contains small subunit ribosomal RNA, internal transcribed spacer 1, and 5.8S ribosomal RNA". The stretch from base 1 to 46 matches the Rfam family "Eukaryotic small subunit ribosomal RNA", at positions 1786 to 1831 of the family's 1831-position model. The record is from RNAcentral.